UACGGAGGAUGCGAGCGUUAUCCGGAAUUACUGGGUGUAAAGGGAGCGUAGGCGGUACGGCAAGUCAGAAGUGAAAGCCUGGGGCUCAACCCCGGAAUUGCUUUUGAAACUGUCGGACUAGAGUGUCGGAGGGGUAAGCGGAAUUCCUAGUGUAGCGGUGAAAUGCGUAGAUAUUAGGAGGAACACCGGUGGCGAAGGCGGCUUACUGGACGACCACUGACGCUGAGGCUCGAAAGCGUGGGGAGCAAACAGG
RNAcentral lists this ribosomal RNA (253 nucleotides) under uncultured bacterium. RNAcentral's name for it is "partial 16S ribosomal RNA". It matches the Rfam family "Bacterial small subunit ribosomal RNA", at positions 524 to 776 of the family's 1533-position model. The record is from RNAcentral.